This 290-nucleotide ribosomal RNA is filed under the name uncultured Helicobacteraceae bacterium. RNAcentral's name for it is "partial 16S ribosomal RNA". It matches the Rfam family "Bacterial small subunit ribosomal RNA", at positions 470 to 759 of the family's 1533-position model. Lineage: Bacteria; Pseudomonadati; Campylobacterota; Epsilonproteobacteria; Campylobacterales; Helicobacteraceae. The record is from RNAcentral.
UGACGGUAUCAUAUGAAUAAGCACCGGCUAACUCCGUGCCAGCAGCCGCGGUAAUACGGAGGGUGCAAGCGUUAUUCGGAAUCACUGGGCGUAAAGGGUGCGUAGGCGGUUUGGAAAGUCAGGUGUGAAAUCCUACAGCUUAACUGUAGAACUGCACUUGAAACUUCCAGACUAGAAUACUGAAGGGGCAGAUGGAAUUAGUGGUGUAGGGGUAAAAUCCGUAGAUAUCACUAGGAAUACCGAAAGCGAAAGCGAUCUGCUGGGAAGUUAUUGACGCUGAGGCACGAAAG